RNAcentral lists this long non-coding RNA (739 nucleotides) under Marmota monax (woodchuck). Lineage: Eukaryota; Metazoa; Chordata; Mammalia; Rodentia; Sciuridae. The record is from RNAcentral.
UUUGAACUCCCAUCUCUGGAGUUAAUACUGCUCUGGCAGAGGCACAGAUGUCCAACCCUGCGCUCCCUCGGGUUUGUCUGAUGAGGGAUUUAAUGGACAAUGUGUCCUGGGCACUACCCUGAUGGUGUUGCUGGGUUCCUCCACUGCCCCGUAGAUUUGUGGUUGUGGGCCCCGGAGCAUUGGGCCCCCCUGUCCGUUUUUUGGCAAUGGAGCCUGAUGCCUUUCUCCAUGAUAUCGUGGAUAAAUACCUGGUCUUUGUCCGUUUUUUGAUAAGGGAGUACCCUCUAUGGUGGUUUGAGAACAGCAUUCAUUAGCCCAAUGUCUCCCUCUACGGCAUCGUGGGCAAAUACCCGGUAUUCUAUUCCUUUGAUACCUACUUUUGUUAAACCCUCCUCCUAUGGGGCAAUUCCUUUUAAAAUGUCCUGUUUGUUCACAAUCAUAGCAUGUUUUUGGCCUGGCAUCUAAAGCCUGUUGUACUGCAGCUGCCAAGACUUGCCCUUGUUCAUUAAUAUCUCUACAUAAUUUAAUAUAUGUGUUUAAAUCUUCAUGUCUCCAUGGUCUAAUGACCUCUCUGCAGCAACGAUUUGCUUGGUCAUAAGCCAGUUGUUUUAUUAAUGGCAUUGCCUGUUAUGUAUCCCCCAAAAUUCUGGAAGCUGUUUGAAUAAGACUAUCUACAAAUUCAGCGUAAGGUUCAUUAGUUCUCUGUAUUACCUUAGAUAGCUGACCUUGUAAAUCUCCA